Molecule: ribosomal RNA, 429 nt
Filed under: Bacillota bacterium
Lineage: Bacteria; Bacillati; Bacillota
Description: Firmicutes bacterium partial 16S ribosomal RNA
Rfam family: Bacterial small subunit ribosomal RNA
Source: RNAcentral
UAGGGAAUCUUCGGCAAUGGACGGAAGUCUGACCGAGCAACGCCGCGUGAGUGAAGAAGGUUUUCGGACCGUAAAGCUCUGUUGUUAGAGAAGAACGUUGGUAGGAGUGGAAAAUCUACCAAGUGACGGUAACUAACCAGAAAGGGACGGCUAACUACGUGCCAGCAGCCGCGGUAAAACGUAGGUCCCGAGCGUUGUUCGGAUUUAUUGGGCGUAAAGCGAUCGCAGGCGGUUCUUUAAGUCUGAAGUUAAAGGCAGUGGCUUAACCAUUGUACGCUUUGGAAACUGGAGGACUUGAGUGCAGAAGGGGGGAGUGGAAUUGCAUGUGUAGCGGUGAAAUGCGUAGAUAUAUGGAGGAACACCGGUGGCGAAAGCGGCUCUCUGGUCUGUAAAUGACGCAGAGGCUCGAAAGCGUGGGGAGCAAACAGG